UUUGUAAUUAAAAAUUACAAUUCUUUAAAUAAGGGUAAAACUUUAAUUUGAAAUCAUUUACUCCCAAUUCAAGACAAAUUAAACACAUAAAUUGAAUUCUGAUUCAACUUUCAUACUCUCAUUCUAGUGUAAGUAAGCAAUCUACUCUCACCCCACUCCACACUCUCAAUCACAGGAUUCUCACUCAUCAAGAUUCCCACUUUAAUUCAAAAUGUAAACGCUACCUAAUUUCAGCCAAUGAAAGAGAUUUUUUCCAUCACUUUUCAUCUCAUGCACACUGAUGUUUUUAUUUAGUACUUAUCAGAUGAUACAACAUAUGAUGAGUUUGGCUCUAAUAUCAUAUAAAAGCUCGCGAUCUUACAUUAGUUCUUAAAAUCUACUUUUCUAACCUUUUUCUAAAAACAUUACCCUUUUUCUUUUUAUUAUUAUCUUUAAACUAAUAAAAAAUUUAUUGCAAUAUUUUCUAUUAUUUUUCCAAUAAGAUUUCUUAUAAUUAUUCCUAUAUUUGUUAUGUCUUUUGCCUGAUAUUCGACAUCCCAAUUCCUAAGUGAAUUUCAUGCAUAUCUAUACACAUUUCUCUAAAUUAAUAUUUAAUUGAUUUUGCCCCUAAUAUUUUUUUUUCUUCGUAGUAUUCUUUCAUUCCAUCUUUAACAUAUUCUGUAAUUGGCAAUAAAGUUUCAUAAUAAUUAAAUUUUUCUAUACUCUCUAUUUAGGAAUUAUUCUCAACAUGUUCAUUCAAUAAAGUACCCCACACUAACUAAUAAAGUAUAGUCAAUUGGGUUGAUAAUAAGGAUAGAUAAUUCUACCUAAUAGGUUAGUCUUUUAGUUAAAUACUUAGAAAUCUUAGGCCCGACUCAAACAAGUGGUGUUAGAACCAAACAUUAAUAGUCGGAAUGUAGUGAUAGAACAACUCAGAUUUAUCAGAUGAAAUAACAAGAGUCUGAUGGUAGUUAAUUUCUUCACUAGGGGUAUGUUGAAUUGUAUGUGUCCCACAUUAACAAAUAAAGGAGAGUCAAUUAAGCUUGCAAGUAAGAUAAGUCUUUCCACCUAAUAGAUUAUUCUUUUGAGUGGGAUACACAAAAAUGUUAGGCAUAGCACCCAACAAACUACAAUGCUGAGAGUGUUUUUUCAUUAUUUCUGUCGCUUUACGACCAUUAAUUACAAUCUGAAACUCCAAGGAACCAUUAUUUCUGUCGUCUUUGUCCAGAGAACUUUUUUAUUCAAACUUUUCCAGCUUCAAACGGAUGUUUUAUCAUACAACCAUAAACAAGAAAAGUUAAAAAGAAGAAUAAAAAAGAAACUUGACUACGUCAGCCACGUCCAUAAUUUCCUUGAUUCCAAUUGGAUGAUUAUAGACCGUUCAAAUUCCACAUCUGCCAUGUGUUAUAUAAUGAUCAGGCUUUUGCUUGCUACAAAAAAUUUCACGCAGAUGCAUGAUUGCAUGCUUGAUCCAAAAUAGCACAAAGUGCCAACUUAUUGUUUGUUUAUAUAUAUAUUAUGCAUGCAUAAGUAUGAUGAGGUGUUGUUGUAUCUCGAAUAUGCCAUUAGAGGCAUUAUUAUUAGUUACAUGUCAUGUCUAUUUUAUAAAAAGCUUGCUAACGUGGAAAUUAUGAUAGGUGGCAAGUCAUCAGAGGUUAUGACCAUUGGCCACUUUGAAUUUGUUUUGAGCUUUCUGACUCAUCCCACUUAUACAAGAGAUGUACCUAAACGUAGCGUUUGCCGAGAAAUUUUAAUUUUUCUUCUUUGUUUUCUUGGAAAAUGAUCUAUUUCACAAGUUCAAAUAGGCAAAAACACCAUAAUUUGACGAUUAAUUCUCCAAAAAUACUUUAUUGUUCAUAUAUAUUAAUUUUUUCACAUGUGCAUGUAUUUUGAUUAUUGCUAAUACAUAUUGUCAUAGUCUUUAUUAAUUUGUGUCAUAUGUGUGAAUGGAAUUGAUUAAGAAUAUCUUAACUUUUAAGAAUUUAAUUGUAACUCGUGAUUAUGAAUAGAUUAAUAUGAUGGAUAUAGGAAAAUUAUCAGCCAUCCACCUAAAAAUUUAUCUGUUAGCAAAAAAUUGAAUUUGUAUCAAUUGUCUAUCAAAAAGACAGAAUUGCCCUUACAAAAUAAUUAUAUUUAUAAGUUGUGUUUGCUUUUAUUUGUCAAUAAAGGUAAUUAUAUCAUUUUGGUAUAUGGUUGACACAAAUCACAUAUAUUGGGUGCAAGAAUUGAAUAAAUUAAAACUUCGACAAUAUUUUUAUAAUAGAGUAAACUUCAAGUGGACAACUAAUAAUUUCCCUAGAAUAUAUCGUAAUAAUAUUGUAACAAGUAUCACAACAGCAGAAACCGAGUCAGCUGUAACCCACAUGUACAAGCAAGAUUUGAUCCUUAUACCUCUUAUACUACCCGAAGAGAUUUUAUCAAUUAAUUAAACUAACUAUUGCUCACGAUAUAUAUCUUAAAUUGGUUGUUACACAAAUAAGUAAUUACAAGAGUAUUUCUAAUUUUAAAAUAUUAAUUUAAAAAAUAGUAACUGAGAUUUCAUUUCGACCCAAGUUCUUAUCCAUUUUGUUGUCGUUCUUAAAUGGGAAUCACAACAAAAAAAAUCCAAUUGAGUUCUCACGUCUUGCUAACCCACCAUUAUUCUUUUCAAGUUUGUAUCAUGCCAUUGUUAGCCCGACAAAUUUUAAUUUUAUCUUUAGUUUUCUUUGAAUUCCGCUCCAAACUCAUUUUUUUUGUUACAUGUUUAUUAAUGAAUAGUUGAUUAAAGGUUUAAUAUACUUUUUUCAAGUAAAGUUCAGAUAAAGAAAGAAUUUGUGUUGAUUAAAUGUAUCCCCACCAAUUGAGCAAAGAGCGAAAGAGAAAGAAAGCCAGUUAAUUUCCAAUAGGAAUUGCAUGUGCAAGCCCUGAAUUAUUUCAUGUCUUCUCGUUGGAUUGAUUUUUGCUCUCAUAGUCUAAGUGUGCCUUUGGGAUUGAGGUUCGACAGUUGUAUCUUAAAAGCUAUAAUAUUAAAGUGUUUAGUAAAUACUAAUUGUUGUAAUUUGAAAGAUAUGUUAAGAUAAUUUUUUACUUAUAUAAUAAAAAAUUUAUUAUAUUUUUAAUAAUUUUAUCAAAAUUAUUAUUUAAAAUUUUUAUUUAUUAUAUAUUAUUAAUUUUUAUUUAAUAAUUAUAAUUUUUUUUUCACAAUAAUUAUAACUUAAAAUAUACAGUAUCUCAAAUCUCAAAUCUCAUAUGUACUGUAAGACUCUAAACCUCGAUGAUGUUUUUCCCAUAUAAUUGGGGAUAGAGAGGGGUAAUAACAAGCAGUAGCAUAUAAUAAAAUUGGACAGUUGAGCAAAGAGCCUAAUGGUCUUUCCAUUGCUGGUUCCAUUUCUUGUCUCGGGGCCCACCACGAAUCGUUUGACCCACAGUGUUUGGAUUGGAGCCGUCCUGCCAAUUGUUAUUGAGAGAAGCAGCCUACUCUUGGGACAUGCUUGGGAAGUGUCAAAUCAGAUUCAUUUAAUUAAUAAUAACAUGUAAUCUUGCCCCCCGUGGAUAGAUGGAACAAACUUCAUUGGCCCACUUCAGCUUUUCCAAACAAACUCUCACCGAGAAUCUUCGAAUUGAUCUUUGCUUAGCUAAGGUAAAUAGAAGGGUCAAAAAAAUAAAUUAU
Molecule: long non-coding RNA, 3628 nt
Filed under: Citrus x clementina
Lineage: Eukaryota; Viridiplantae; Streptophyta; Magnoliopsida; Sapindales; Rutaceae
Description: Citrus clementina (C. clementina) long non-coding RNA (CCLE_LNC004357)
Source: RNAcentral